CUCGUAGGCGGUUCAGCAAGUCGGCUGUGAAAUUCCGAGGCUCAACCUCGGAACUGCAGUCGAUACUGCUGUGACUCGAGUCCGGUAGAGGAGAAUGGAAUUCCCGGUGUAGCGGUGAAAUGCGCAGAUAUCGGGAGGAACACCAGUAGCGAAGGCGGUUCUCUGGGCCGGUACUGACGCUGAGGAGCGAAAGCGUGGGGAACGACAAACGA
Molecule: ribosomal RNA, 212 nt
Filed under: uncultured bacterium
Lineage: Bacteria
Description: partial 16S ribosomal RNA
Rfam family: Bacterial small subunit ribosomal RNA
Source: RNAcentral